RNAcentral lists this ribosomal RNA (574 nucleotides) under Salmonella enterica. RNAcentral's name for it is "partial 23S ribosomal RNA". It matches the Rfam family "Bacterial large subunit ribosomal RNA", at positions 616 to 1191 of the family's 2925-position model. RNAcentral also lists the same sequence under 1 other name. Lineage: Bacteria; Pseudomonadati; Pseudomonadota; Gammaproteobacteria; Enterobacterales; Enterobacteriaceae. The record is from RNAcentral.
UGGGUCAGCGACUUAUAUUCUGUAGCAAGGUUAACCGUAUAGGGGAGCCGGAGGGAAACCGAGUCUUAACCGGGCGUUAAGUUGCAGGGUAUAGACCCGAAACCCGGUGAUCUAGCCAUGGGCAGGUUGAAGGUUGGGUAACACUAACUGGAGGACCGAACCGACUAAUGUUGAAAAAUUAGCGGAUGACCUGUGGCUGGGGGUGAAAGGCCAAUCAAACCGGGAGAUAGCUGGUUCUCCCCGAAAGCUAUUUAGGUAGCGCCUCGUGAAUUCAUCUCCGGGGGUAGAGCACUGUUUCGGCUAGGGGGCCAUCCCGGCUUACCAACCCGAUGCAAACUGCGAAUACCGGAGAAUGUUAUCACGGGAGACACACGGCGGGUGCUAACGUCCGUCGUGAAGAGGGAAACAACCCAGACCGCCAGCUAAGGUCCCAAAGUCAUGGUUAAGUGGGAAACGAUGUGGGAAGGCCCAGACAGCCAGGAUGUUGGCUUAGAAGCAGCCAUCAUUUAAAGAAAGCGUAAUAGCUCACUGGUCGAGUCGGCCUGCGCGGAAGAUGUAACGGGGCUAAACCAUG